RNAcentral lists this ribosomal RNA (1487 nucleotides) under metagenome. RNAcentral describes it as "bacterial SSU rRNA". It matches the Rfam family "Bacterial small subunit ribosomal RNA". The record is from RNAcentral.
AGAGUUUGAUCCUGGCUCAGGACGAACGCUGGCGGCGUGCUUAACACAUGCAAGUCGAACGAGGUGCAGAUGGAAGCUUGCUUUUGUCUGUACCGAGUGGCGAACGGGUGAGUAACGCGUGAGGAACCUGUCUCAUACAGGGGGAUAACAGCUGGAAACAGCUGCUAAUACCGCAUAAGACCACAGCACCGCAUGGUGGAGAGGUCAAAGGAGCAAUCCGGUAUGAGGUGGACUCGCGUCCGAUUAGAUAGUUGGUGAGGUAACGGCCCACCAAGUCAACGAUCGGUAGCCGACCUGAGAGGGUGAUCGGCCACAUUGGAACUGAGAUACGGUCCAGACUCCUACGGGAGGCAGCAGUGGGGAAUAUUGGGCAAUGGGCGCAAGCCUGGCCCAGCAACGCCGCGUGAGGGAAGAAGGUUUUCGGAUUGUAAACCUCUGUCCUUGAUGAAAAGAAGAAGAUGGUAAUCAAGGAGGAAGCCCCGGCUAACUACGUGCCAGCAGCCGCGGUAAUACGUAGGGGGCGAGCGUUGUCCGGAAUGAUUGGGCGUAAAGGGCGCGUAGGCGGCCAUUUAAGUCUGGAGUGAAAGUCCUGUUUUUAAGAUGGGAACUGCUUUGGAUACUGGAUGGCUUGAGUGCAGGAGAGGUUAUCGGAAUUCCCGGUGUAGCGGUGAAAUGCGUAGAGAUCGGGAGGAACACCAGUGGCGAAGGCGGGUAACUGGACUGCAACUGACGCUGAGGCGCGAAAGUGUGGGGAGCAAACAGGAUUAGAUACCCUGGUAGUCCACACUGUAAACGAUGAAUGCUAGGUGUAGGAGGUAUCGACCCCUUCUGUGCCGGAGUAAACACAAUAAGCAUUCCGCCUGGGGAGUACGGCCGCAAGGUUGAAACUCAAAGGAAUUGACGGGGGCCCGCACAAGCAGCGGAGCAUGUGGUUUAAUUCGACGCAACGCGAAGAACCUUACCAGGUCUUGACAUCCAGUAAAAGCUGUAGAGAUACAGUGUGAGCUUGCCCAUACUGAGACAGGUGGUGCAUGGUUGUCGUCAGCUCGUGUCGUGAGAUGUUGGGUUAAGUCCCGCAACGAGCGCAACCCUUACUGAUAGUUACUAACGUGUAAAGGCGAGGACUCUAUCAGGACUGCCGGGGACAACUCGGAGGAAGGUGGGGACGACGUCAAAUCAUCAUGCCCCUUAUGACCUGGGCUACACACGUGCUACAAUGGCCGUUACAGAGAGGAGCAAAGCCGUAAGGCCGAGCAGAUCUCAAAAAAGCGGUCUCAGUCCGGAUUGUAGGCUGAAACUCGCCUACAUGAAGCUGGAGUUGCUAGUAAUCGCGAAUCAGCAUGUCGCGGUGAAUACGUUCCCGGGCCUUGUACACACCGCCCGUCACACCAUGAGAGUUGGCAAUACCCAAAGUGCGUGAUCUGACUCGCAAGAGAGGAAGCGCCCUAAGGUAGGGUCAGCGAUUGGGGUGAAGUCGUAACAAGGUA